CCUACGGGAGGCAGCAGUAAGGAAUAUUGGACAAUGGACGCAAGUCUGACCCAGCCAUGCCGCGUGAGGGAUUAAGGCCCUCUGGGUUGUAAACUUCUUUUAUAGGGGACGAAAAAAGGGCUUUCUAGCUCGACUGACGGUACCCUAUGAAUAAGCACCGGCUAACUCCGUGCCAGCAGCCGCGGUAAUACGGAGGGUGCAAGCGCUAUCCGGAUUCACUGGGUUUAAAGGGUGCGUAGGCGGGCAGUUAAGUCAGUGGUGAAAUCUUCGAGCUCAACUCGGAAACUGCCAUUGAUACUAUCUGUCUUGAAUAUUGUGGAGGUGAGCGGAAUAUGUCAUGUAGCGGUGAAAUGCUUAGAUAUGACAUAGAACACCAAUUGCGUAGGCAGCUCGCUACACAAAUAUUGACGCUGAGGCACGAAAGCGUGGGGAUCAAACAGGAUUAGAUACCCUGGUAGUCCACGCCCUAAACUAUGAUUACUCGACAUAUGCGAUACACUGUAUGUGUCUGAGCGAAAGCAUUAAGUAAUCCACCUGGGAAGUACGACCGCAAGGUUGAAACUUAAAUGAAUUGAGG
RNAcentral lists this ribosomal RNA (577 nucleotides) under uncultured bacterium. RNAcentral's name for it is "bacterial SSU rRNA". It matches the Rfam family "Bacterial small subunit ribosomal RNA", at positions 338 to 915 of the family's 1533-position model. The record is from RNAcentral.